This is a long non-coding RNA of Boleophthalmus pectinirostris (great blue-spotted mudskipper), 1213 nucleotides long. RefSeq lists it as uncharacterized. The transcript is spliced from 3 exons. NCBI's taxonomy places the organism in Eukaryota, Metazoa, Chordata, Actinopteri, Gobiiformes, Gobiidae. The record is from RefSeq and is a predicted model, not a curated record.
GGAGACGCUGCUGCGAUAAACACCACAGAAAAUUAACAAGAUUUUAGACAGGUGGGAUCUAUAAAGCAAAGAUUGCGUGGUUUGGUGCGUGUGGUGGGUUUUCUAAAUAUGGAGUUUGCGUGGCGCACGAAUGUCGUAGCUACUAGCCAAGAAGGUCUGGCUGCAGACACAUGGGGAAAGUGGAGCUCCACUCCAGACCGGAAACACGUGACCUCCACCGAAGACGUCAUCUCUACUUUUAUGUAGACCUAUGGGGGACGAAAACGAUUUAUUUUGACCGCAAUUAAAUGUUUAUUAAAUAAGAUUGUUUUUACGUUAUGGAAUUUGUUCGCACAUACAAACACAGAGCAAAACGACCAUCUGGAAGACGGAGAAAACAUGGGUAAAGAAGCCCACGGAGUGAUUUAAUGAAGCUACGAGGAGAAAACUUGUAAACACUUGGCCAGUAUAAGUCUUCCUGUAUGAGAACACAACACACUGCUGGGGCCACAGAAAUGUUGGCUGAUGAGACGCUCAUGAUUCAUGAAAUGGGUCAAAUGCAGAUGACAAAGAAAAGUCAACAGCAGGAGGUGCUGACCCAGACUUCUGCCUCUGUUUAGGUCUGGGACAUGUUACAUUGAAAACUCCAAUAAUAAUAAAUGAAUCAGGCUCAUGUUGAAAUCAUUAUUUAAUUUUCUGAAAAUACACAUUUCUCAAAUGUGUGAUAUUUAGCUGUUUGGAUUUAUGUAAUAGUUUUCUUAAUGUGUGUGUCAUUACAGGUUUUCACUCUGCAGACAGAAAUUUCAACCAGUCAGACGUAAGGCCCAUUCUGCUCUUCCUCCUCCAGAAAACGAGAGAUAUGUCAGACUGAAUGAUCCAAGUACACUGGGUCAUGUCUCCACUGUCCAUGUCCAGACUCACAGAGGAGGAGGAGGAGGAGGUCCAGACUGUAGACCUGUGGGGCCUCUGGUUGCAUCAGGCCUCCCUCCUGCACAUUCUGUUUGCUGCUGUUCCUAAUGUGUCCUAAUAGAGAUGUGUCCAUAAAGAUUAGGUUUAACGUUUUAUUUCCUCCAGAAGUGAAACAGUAAAAUGGUGGUUUCUGUUCGUCUUAGCUGAAGAGCACCUAAACAGCUUUAUCACUGAGGAAGUGUCCCAUGAUAAAUGUGGCCUUAUAUGAUCUUAACAAGUGUAUGAGACAAAACUAGUCAUAUAAGUUGCUCAUAAUAAGUUUUUC